GGCGCAGCUCUUGCUAAGUAAACAUCACAGGUAGCCAACGGCGGUUGCCCCUCCACGACAAAGACGUCGC
Non-coding RNA from Spinacia oleracea (spinach), 70 nucleotides. The record is from Rfam. Lineage: Eukaryota; Viridiplantae; Streptophyta; Magnoliopsida; Caryophyllales; Amaranthaceae.